RNAcentral lists this ribosomal RNA (654 nucleotides) under uncultured archaeon. RNAcentral's name for it is "bacterial SSU rRNA". It matches the Rfam family "Archaeal small subunit ribosomal RNA", at positions 508 to 1160 of the family's 1478-position model. The record is from RNAcentral.
GCCUAAAGCGUCCGUAGCCGGCUCUGUUAGUUUUCGGUUAAAUCCAUAUGCUCAACAUAUGGGCCGCCGGGAAUACUACAAAGCUAGGGAGUGGGAGAGGUAGACGGUACUCCGUAGGAAGGGGUAAAAUCCUUUGAUCUAUGGAUGACCACCAGUGGCGAAGGCGGUCUACCAGAACACGUUCGACGGUGAGGGAUGAAAGCUGGGGGAGCAAACCGGAUUAGAUACCCGGGUAGUCCCAGCUGUAAACUAUGCAAACUCAGUGAUGCAUUGGCUUGUGGCCAGUGCAGUGCCGCAGAGAAGUCGUUAAGUUUGCCGCCUGGGAAGUACGUACGCAAGUAUGAAACUUAAAGGAAUUGGCGGGGGAGCACCACAAGGGGUGAAGCCUGCGGUUCAAUUGGAGUCAACGCCAGAAAUCUUACCCGGAGAGACAGCAGAAUGAAGGUCAAGUUGAAGCCUUUACCAGACAAGCUGAGAAGUGGUGCAUGGCCGUCGCCAGCUCGUGCCGUGAGGUGUCCUGUUAAGUCAGGUAACGAGCGAGAUCCUUGCCUCUAGUUGCUACCAUUACUCUCAGGAGUAGUGGGGCGAAUUAGCGGGACUGCCGUAGUUAAUACGGAGGAAAGAGAGGGCCACGGCAGGUCAGUAUGCCCCGAA